UUGAACGCUGGCGGCAUGCCUUACACAUGCAAGUCGAACGGUAACAGGUCUUCGGAUGCUGACGAGUGGCGAACGGGUGAGUAAUACAUCGGAACGUGCCCGAUCGUGGGGGAUAACGAAGCGAAAGCUUUGCUAAUACCGCAUAAGAUCUACGGAUGAAAGCAGGGGACCGCAAGGCCUUGCGCGAACGGAGCGGCCGAUGGCAGAUUAGGUAGUUGGUGGGAUAAAAGCUUACCAAGCCGACGAUCUGUAGCUGGUCUGAGAGGACGACCAGCCACACUGGGACUGAGACACGGCCCAGACUCCUACGGGAGGCAGCAGUGGGGAAUUUUGGACAAUGGGCGAAAGCCUGAUCCAGCCAUGCCGCGUGCAGGAUGAAGGCCUUCGGGUUGUAAACUGCUUUUGUACGGAACGAAAAGACUCUGGUUAAUACCUGGGGUCCAUGACGGUACCGUAAGAAUAAGCACCGGCUAACUACGUG
Molecule: ribosomal RNA, 481 nt
Filed under: uncultured bacterium
Lineage: Bacteria
Description: partial 16S ribosomal RNA
Rfam family: Bacterial small subunit ribosomal RNA
Source: RNAcentral